CGCACAUUGCGCCCUCUGGUAUUCCGGAGGGCAUGCCUGUUCGAGCGUCAUUACAACCUUCAAGCUAUGCUUGGUAUUAGGUCCUCUUGUCUUUGAACGGUCAAACCUGAAAUAGAGCGGCAGUGAACAUUGGUUCUCCAGCGAAGUAAAUUUUUAUAAUCCGCUUUCGAGAAACUAUGCUUGCUUGCCGAGUCUAAAAACUCAUUUUUCUAUGGUUGACCUCGAAUCAGGUAGGGAUACCCGCUGAACUUAA
This 253-nucleotide unclassified non-coding RNA is filed under the name Helotiales sp. RNAcentral describes it as "partial contains 5.8S ribosomal RNA, internal transcribed spacer 2, and large subunit ribosomal RNA". Lineage: Eukaryota; Fungi; Ascomycota; Leotiomycetes; Helotiales. The record is from RNAcentral.